Molecule: long non-coding RNA, 497 nt
Organism: Prionailurus viverrinus (fishing cat)
Lineage: Eukaryota; Metazoa; Chordata; Mammalia; Carnivora; Felidae
Exons: 4
Source: RefSeq, a predicted model, not a curated record
CCGGGGCCCGGCCUCCCCCGUCCGCCCUGUGAGCCGAGAUGUCUGUGCUCAGCGUGGACGUGGCACUGGGGGACCUUCACUGGAGGAGUCCAGCCUUUCCCCCCCGCACCAGAUGCUGUGCCUGGUGACAGAUGAUCGUGAGAUGCAGGAGGAAAACCGGGACAUCAAAACUCGGUGACCAGCGAGGCUACCAAAACGACAAAAGCCCCCCACCCACCACUCCGUGCGGUCUGGUCUGGAAGUGACCACUCCGUGAGAAAGGAUGCUUCCUCACCAGGGUGUUCUGGCAGCUGGAACACAGGCGCAUGCAGGUCCGUGCCUGCAUCCACCUUCUGGAGAAGAACCAACAGCACCCCUGGUGAGGAGAAAGGGCCGUCAAGAUAUAGCAGCUGGUGGUAGGUCACACGCUUUUCAGACCUGAGCCCAGACUCCAGUGAAGGACCCCGCUCUUCCCGCCUUCCCAGCCCUGUGCUUCUUCCUGCCCGAGCAGAUUGCUC